AAAAUCCGUUGGCUUUAGUGACCGUGAGGGUUCAAGUCCCUCUAUCCCCA
RNAcentral lists this transfer RNA (50 nucleotides) under Hymenoloma crispulum. Its description in RNAcentral is "partial tRNA-Leu". Lineage: Eukaryota; Viridiplantae; Streptophyta; Bryopsida; Dicranales; Rhabdoweisiaceae. The record is from RNAcentral.